GUCCAUUAACAUACACCGCAGAUCCCUAAUCCUUACGCUGGACAUUCUCCUCUCCUCUGAAAUCGAUUCGUCGGUGUAACGAUCUCUUUUCCGUUUCUAGGGAUUCAUCACCAAAAUUCAAGCGUGGUUUGUGACAUAUCUGUCGAUUGAGUUCGGAUCUGGGAUCCAGAGCUUUUGGUUUGGAUAAUUUGAAAUCCUAACCAUGUACAACGGAAUAGGGUUACAGACCCCGCGAGGAUCUGGCACGAACGGGUACAUACAGUCGAAUAAGUUUUUCGUGAAGUCGAAGACGAACAAGGUCGUCACUGAUUCGAGCAAGGGAUUUGAGUCGGGCCAAGGAACAGCCGGCGUUACUCGAAAACCCAAUAAGGAGAUAUUGGAGCACGAUCGCAAGCGUCAGAUUGAACUCAAGCUUCUCGUGUUGGAGGAUAAGCUGAUCGAUCAGGGAUACACCGAUGCCGAGAUUGCGGAGAAGCUGGAUGAGGCGAGGAAGUCACUCGAGGCCAAGGACAACGAAGAUGGGGAAAAUCUGUUAAUUUCAGAUAAGGUUUCUGAGACGCAGACACAUCAGGUAGCUGCAUUGAAAGAAAGGCAGAUGGAAACACUAAAAGCUGCACUUGGCAUAGAAUCAGAAGCAGAAAGAGAGAAGAAGCGGCUAGAUGCUGAGGCUCGAGCUUUUGGGGAGAAUCUUGAUGAACUUGAAUCUGGGGGCUUCCGCCCAAAGGAUGUUGCAGAUGGUCAGAAACAUCAUGGGAAAGAUGGAAGAGAUGAAAAUGAAGAUAUCCUGAAGGCUGUGAAGAAGAAUGAUUCUGGUAGAGAUAAGUCAAAACGUAGUAGUAAGGAAAAAAACAGGAGAGCUUAUGGCGAUUCAUCAGAUUCUGAUAGUAGUUUGAAACACGGAAGUAAGAAAAAACAUAAAAAGUACAGCAAAGGUAGUAGUAGCAGUGGUGAUGAUUCUGAUAUCGAUGUUAAGAAGAGAAGAAAGGAUUCCCCAAAAAUGCACAAGAAAAAGAAAGCUUCAAGACAUGAUAGCAGUUCUGAUUCAGAAUCUCUGUCUGAUUCUGAUUCAAGUUCAGAAUCUGAUUAUGACAGGAAGCGUGGGAAAUCUCGUGGAAAGUAUGACUCUGAUGAUGACUCUAAAUCUGGUGGAAGCCCGGAUAGGAGAAAACAGAAGGUAAAAAGAACUUCAAAAAGCAGGCAAUAUGACUCUGAUGAUGACAAUUCUGAUGAAGGCCGUGCACGUAAGGGUAAACAUGUGAAGAGCAGAAGGUAUGAUUCUUCUGAUGAUUAUAGUUCUGAUGACCAAACAAAAUACCAGCAGAAAGGGAAGCAGAGGCAUCCUUACUCAGAUGACGACUAUAAUUCUGACAAAGGUCCCAAAGACAAGAUGCAGAGGGGUAAAGAGCCUUCAAAGGUCAGACGGCAUGAUUCUGAUGAUGAUUUAGAUGCUGAUAGAUUAGAGAAACAUGGAAGAAGUUUAUCCAGGAAUGAACGACAAACUCACAGAUCAAAGGAUUCUCCAAAAGAUGAUGAGUGGAGAAUUGGGAGUGAAAGACAAAAAAAAGGUGGUAGAAGGCAGGGCCGAGAUGCUGAAUACGAUUCUGAUGAAAUAACCAAAAGACGACAUGAAAGAGCUGACAAAGAUGACUAUGAAAAAAAUACUGGUUCUGGAAGACAAGAGAAAGAUCACAUAAAACACCGACCUCGUGAUUCUGGUAAGGACAUUGAUCUCAAGAAUGAUGAUUCUCGAGACCGGGGUAGAAUUGAAGGAGUUGAAUCUCUUGGGAAGAACAGAAGUGGUCAUUAUGAUGAUUUACAUGGUAAAGGCAGGGACAGAGGUUACGGAUAUGAAACUCGUGAUAGGGAGAAAGAGAGGGUAAAGGGUGAUGAUGCACUUGACACUUUUAAAAAAUUGGAACAACUCUAUAGCGUGAAGGGUGAUGAAUCUGACAACAGAGAUGAUGAUUUUGCUAGGGGUGAGAGGAAAAUCUAUGAUGGAAAUGAGAGUGAACAGUAUGAGAGAAGGUCAAGGAGACAUGACUCAGCUAGAGAAACAGGGCAUGGGCGGACAAAGAUUGCAUCUGAGAUACACAGUAGCAAAGAUUUGAAGCCAGCAAGAUCUGGUGCAGACACUGCUGAUGCUGAUGGCCAUGAGGAUGCAAUUCGUAGUGGGGAUGCGUCUCGGCACUCAGAUAAAAGAGGUGAUCGAGACCAUGAAGGCUAUGAACGCCGUAGAAGUGACAGAGGUGAAGCAGAGGACCGCAGGGAAAGAAAGCGUGAAAGGUAUGGAGAUGAGGAGGCAGUGUACAAGAAAGAUCGUGAAUAUCGGCGAGAUGGACAUGGAAGGGAUAGGGAAGAUGAUCGUGAAGAUGGAAAAACUGGUAGAGAUGAACGCAGCUCAAAGAGAGCUAGGUAUGAAGAAGGGCGUUCUAGCGGCCGGAGGUAUGAUGACGACAAGAAUGUGGAUAGGCGGUCCCGACACAGAUACUAAGUGUUAAGCUGUCCUUAUGUUUGAGUAUGUGAGGUGAAAUCUUACAUGGUGUAUCCAUUAUAUGUUAGAGCUGAAAAUCACAAGAGAAAGACUUAUUACGGGGUUUGAUUGAUGUCUACUGCAAUGAUUUGCUUGCUGUUAAGAGGAUUUGGAUCGAUUGAACGAACUCUUGUAGAUUUGGAAUAGUGAUUUUGGCUCUUGGUGAUGCUUGCGGAUACUGCUUGAGUUCCAUCAAGAUCGACAUUUCCUCCAGCACCAUGGCAGACGCUAGCACAAAUUUCACGGACAUCUUUUCAGCUUUGAUCCCACAGAACCCCAGCAUCUCGACACUUUGGAGACGGGCUAGGGACACGGAUGUCUCUUGUUGUUGCAGAAAAUUCGCAACAAAUCAGACUUUGAGCGAAAAGAGUUCAGAGAUUGAUUGUCUGUAGAGCAGGAAGGAACUCAAUUGUGAUCUUGAGCUUCUGCAAAUUGGGGCAGCUACGCAUGAAGCAAAUGGCAGCCGACGCCUGUGUAGGCUUCUGGAAAUACAUAUCGACGAGGUGAAGGCUUCUCAGGUGUUUCAUAGACGUGGGGAGCCUCCAAUCGAUCUCAGCUACAGCUACAGCUACAGCUACAGUUACAAUGAGAAUUAAAAUUACAGAAGGUGAAGAAAUUAUUAAGGGGAAGGGAUAGUAAUAGUAAUAGUAAUAGUAAUAGAAUGAUAGAUAAUAUGGAUCGAAAGCAGAAUGAAAGUUGAAGUAGACGACCAAGAAAACUGUAGCUGGUAGCUGGAUACAAAAAUAUCUUUCAUUUUGUAUAUAGGAAAUUGUAUUUGUGUUCAACAAAACUCAUUCUAUCAAUAU
This is an RNA transcript of Andrographis paniculata, 3336 nucleotides long. RefSeq lists it as uncharacterized. NCBI's taxonomy places the organism in Eukaryota, Viridiplantae, Streptophyta, Magnoliopsida, Lamiales, Acanthaceae. The transcript has 4 exons. The record is from RefSeq and is a predicted model, not a curated record.